AUCGGCUACAUGGCGUGCUCCUGAGGCUGGGCCACCGCGUCGCCUCCCCGCGGUGAGGUCUCCAGCCCGCCCCAGAAGCUGAGAUUUCUCCUGAGCGAGGGCCUAUCCCAGGUGGUGUCUUCCAUGCAGGCUGAAGGAAACAGGAGAGCCCGAAAGGACACCUUGCCUUCCCUCCCCUGGGUCUGAGCACUCACGGGGGGACACUGCGCCAGCUUCUCCGAGGCUGCUAUUUGGACGUUGAGGUGUUUGGAUUGAGACUUCCCUCGGGACUUAAUGAGCCUCUGCAGUACCUGGUUGGAGGGGAAGAAGGGCUAGAAGGACAUGGGUAAUGACCCAAGUCUAAAAGGCAGAUUCUGCUUGGAGCCAGUGGGAAAUCAGAGUCAGAGCCGUGGAAUGUUCCAUGAUUCUCUGCCCUGGGCAUCUCUGCCAGAAUGAGCUCACAAGCUCUGUGUCCACUACAGAAGGGUUAGGGUUAGGGCAACACGCAACACCGACAGACAGACAGACAGACACACACACAUACAUACACACACACACACUCACUUUCUCACAUAAUCAUACAAUCAUGCUCACACUCUCACUUUCUCACACACACAUGCACAGACUCACAUACUCACGAGCACAUACUAAAAUAUUCAUGCAACACACUCAUACAUGCAGACACACACACACACACACACACUCAUACAUACUCACACCUUGUCUACAGACUUUAAUCCUCCAGUCUUACUCCCUCUUGUCCAUAUGAACAGUAACAAUCAUUCUUCACGGAGAAACUCCUUCCUGGAUACUAGCCUUGCUCCUUGUGCUCUGGGAUGAGAACUCGCUGUAUCACCCAGGCUGGCAUCCGACAGGCCCUGGGCACCGGUAAUCUGCCACCUCCUGGCUAUUCUGAGAAGCUGUUCUGUGUUUCUUUACAAGAUCAAUUUAGUUGUCGCCAAACUAAAUCCAGCUACGGAGGGACAUCACACCCAUACGGAGAGACAGUCUACAACGUGGUCGGCCCAUACUACUGCAAAACACCAUUGUCAUAAAAAUCUAAAGAAAGCUCAAGAGCUGCUCCAUGUUAAGAAGACUACAUGUGGGGCUGGAGAGAUGGCUCAGUGGUUAAGAGCACUGACUGCUCUUUCAAAGGACCCAGGUUCGAAUCCUAGAACCUACAUGGCAGCUCACGGCUGACUGUAACUCCACUUCCACAUGCAAGCAAGACACUAAUGCAUAUUUUAAAAAAUCAUUCUUUAAAAAAGAGUCGGUGGUGGUGCACACCUUUAAUCCCAGCACUUGGGAGGCAGAGGCAGAUCUCUGAGUUCGAGGCCAGCCUUGUCUACAGAGUGAGUUCCAGGACAGCCAGUGCUACACAGAGAAACCCUGUCUUGAAAAACCUAAAAAAGAAGGAGGAAGAGAAGAAGAAGAAAAGAGGCAGAAGACAUGCAGUAUGAUCCUGGGUAAUGGAAAAUGGUAUCAUAAGGGAGAAUUAUUGGGACAGUUAAAAAAGCUCAAUAUGGUGCUAUAGAGAUAGCUCAGUGGGUAAGAGCAAUGACUACUCUUCCAAAGAUCAUGAGUUCAAAUCCCAGCACCCACAUGGUAGCCCACAACCAUCUGAAAAGAGAUCUGAGUCCUCUUCUGGUGUCUAAAGACAGCUACAGUGUACUUAUAUGUAAUAAAUAAAUAAAUCUUUUUUUAA
Molecule: long non-coding RNA, 1684 nt
Organism: Apodemus sylvaticus (European woodmouse)
Lineage: Eukaryota; Metazoa; Chordata; Mammalia; Rodentia; Muridae
Exons: 2
Source: RefSeq, a predicted model, not a curated record